RNAcentral lists this ribosomal RNA (381 nucleotides) under Romboutsia sp. KF-2016-A. Its description in RNAcentral is "bacterial SSU rRNA". It matches the Rfam family "Bacterial small subunit ribosomal RNA", at positions 969 to 1349 of the family's 1533-position model. The record is from RNAcentral. Lineage: Bacteria; Bacillati; Bacillota; Clostridia; Peptostreptococcales; Peptostreptococcaceae.
CCUUACCUAAGCUUGACAUCCUUUUGACCGAUGCCUAAUCGCAUCUUUCCCUUCGGGGACAGAAGUGACAGGUGGUGCAUGGUUGUCGUCAGCUCGUGUCGUGAGAUGUUGGGUUAAGUCCCGCAACGAGCGCAACCCUUGCCUUUAGUUGCCAGCAUUAAGUUGGGCACUCUAGAGGGACUGCCAGGGAUAACCUGGAGGAAGGUGGGGAUGACGUCAAAUCAUCAUGCCCCUUAUGCUUAGGGCUACACACGUGCUACAAUGGGUGGUACAGAGGGCAGCCAAGUCGUGAGGCGGAGCUAAUCCCUUAAAGCCAUUCUCAGUUCGGAUUGUAGGCUGAAACUCGCCUACAUGAAGCUGGAGUUACUAGUAAUCGCAGAU